This 460-nucleotide ribosomal RNA is filed under the name uncultured bacterium. RNAcentral describes it as "partial 16S ribosomal RNA". It matches the Rfam family "Bacterial small subunit ribosomal RNA", at positions 338 to 795 of the family's 1533-position model. The record is from RNAcentral.
CCUACGGGUGGCAGCAGUGAGGAAUAUUGGUCAAUGGACGAGAGUCUGAACCAGCCAAGUAGCGUGAAGGAUGACUGCCCUAUGGGUUGUAAACUUCUUUUAUAUGGGAAUAAAACGUUCCACGUGUGGGAUUUUGUAUGUCCCAUAUGAAUAAGGAUCGGCUAACUCCGUGCCAGCAGCCGCGGUAAUACGGAGGAUCCGAGCGUUAUACGGAUUUAUUGGGUUUAAAGGGAGCGUAGGUGGAUUGUUAAGUCAGUUGUGAAAGUUUGCGGCUCAACCGUAAAAUUGCAGUUGAAACUGGCAGUCUUGAGUACAGUAGAGGUGGGCGGAAUUCGUGGUGUAGCGGUGAAAUGCUUAGAUAUCACGAAGAACUCCGAUUGCGAAGGCAGUUCACUGGACUGCAACUGACACUGAGGCUCGAAAGUGUGGGUAUCAAACAGGAUUAGAUACCCCUGUAGUC